CAGACGUGCAGCUCGGCAUAAAUAUUUGUGUGUGUGAAUUUUUUUUUUCGAAUUAUUUUUGCCUGACGCGCUUGAGAUUCAAUUGUGGUUCGUUCAACUGACGCCAAGAGAAAAGUAAAGGAGAAAAAAAAACAUUUUAACGCGCUUAUAUAUUAAUGAUAAACAAAAUAUAAAAACGGCAUUGAGCAGCCACAGAGCAGAAAAGUGAAAAGCAACAUUUUCUGCUACGCUUGAGAACCGAAACGAAACACACAACAACAGCAAGAAGAAGAAAAACAAGACAAUUGUAAGACGAAGACGAAAGCGAAUAGCUGAAGAGAAGUAGAGAAAAGAUCAUGCGUGCUUGACGACGACCACGACGACGACGACGACGCUGGCAACGCCACCACAUGCAUCAGACGAGGGGGGAGAGGGUGACAACAACUAGUGCCAAACACAAUGCAAGGCAGACAACGAGAAACGAGCUACAACAACAACAACAACAAGUAGCACAGUAUUUGUAUUUCCACAUAAUUGACAACGAGCGCCUGCAAACGUGCGCACAAGAAGCCACACAAGAGAGCCAGAAAAUUAGACGAAGAAAAUAAGACAACGGCAACAACAACAACAACAACAACGCUACAGCAGAAAAAACCGCUCAGCAUUGGCAUCUCGAAUAUGUGUCUGCAUGCAUGUAUUUGUUGUAUGUACAAAUCUUUGGUGUGUCUUGAAAGCUUUUCUGCAUUCAACGUAGAGGCAACAGGCGUCCGUCUAUAAACAAAGCUGUCUGCAGCGCAGCCGCAAAGCUUGAUUGAAGUUCGUCUUAAUAGCAGCAGCGGAAACAGUGUUGUGUGCGGCAGCAGCAAAUUCAUUUGUUUUGAGUGUCCACAAAAAAAAAAAAAAAGAAAAACAGUGCUGCGUGCAGCGCACAGGAAGCAAUAAGGAGGCUCAAACGAAAACAGUGUUGUGUGCAGCAGCAGCAGCAGCGAAGAGUAGUGUUGUGUGCAGCUGCAAAUGCUGCAAACAUUAGCAUAAAUACUAAUAUAUAUAAAAUAUACGUAGACAGGAGUCGUAUAAAGUGUUUUGUGCGGCAAUUAGUGUGAGUUUAUUUAAAAAGCGCUUAAAUAAACGAAGUCUUGCGAAACAAAUUAACACCCACACACACACACAAAGAUGAAAAGCUAUUGGCUGCUGUUGCUGCUGAUCUGUGCAGCAAACAGUCAACAAGAAGAAGAGCUAGUCACAGGCAGCGCAGCAACGCCAACGGCAACAACAACAACAGCGCCAGCAAGCGCCUCGGGGCGACCGCCGCCCCCGCGCGUCCUGCUGAAUAAGUGUUGCCACCAGGGUGAAUAUUUGAAUGGAACGACGCUGGAGUGCAUAGCGGGCUCCUCGGAGAUGUGGGUGCCGCUGGUGUAUCUGAAGCAGCAGCAGCGCUUCUUUGAGCCAAAGGGCGCCAAGCCCCGUUUCAUCAAGUUCCAGCCAAAUGUGCGGCCCAGCUGCCAGGCGCAGCGCCAGCAACAGGAGCUCUUCAGCAGCCGCCAGGCGAACGUGGUGCUCUUUCCCAAUGGCACCAUGUCGGUGCGGGAGCGUGGCCUGCUCGUCGAGCCGGCCAGCUACUGUGUGGAUCAGGAUGUGGCCCUCGUCUGCCUGGACAGCGAACCAGCGCCGGCCGCCAUGGACAGAGAGCGUGUGCCCGGCUCGGAUCCGGCCGGCGAGGCACUGCAGCCAGCCGCAACCACAAUGUCGCCGCUGCGCCUGCGCAAAUGCUGCGGCAAGUGGGGCAGCUACGACAGCGGCACCAAGGGCUGCACCCUGCAAACGGCCGCCGAGCGUGCGGACAGCGGCCAGCUGCAGCUGCAUCUGGCGCCACAGCUGCUGCCGGGCAGCUAUCAGACCAGCUACGGCCUGCCCGAGUGCCUGGGCAAUGGCAGCGGCUAUGCCAUUGCCGGCGACUGGCACGAGGCGACGCUCAAUCGCAGCACGGGCGAUCUCCGGCUGACGCACACGAAUCUGAGUGCCGCGCAGUAUUGCCUGGAGCAUACGGAGCGGGCGGGCGAGGUGAAAAUAAUUGCCUGCACCCAACACUUUGCCGGAGGGCAUCACAAUGUGCCGUACGGCGGUGUCGAGGGCAGCCUCCAGAAGGCUGUCCUGGACGUGGGCAUUCUUAUAUCGAUUGUGUUUCUGGCUGCCACGCUGGUCGCUGGUUAUAUGCUGCCCGCGGUUCAUCAUGCGCUGCACUGGCGUUGCCAGAUCUAUUAUGUAUUCUGCCUGCUGCUGGGCAAGAUUCUGCUGGCCAUCGAGGAGCUGAGCACGGCCCUGGUGCCCGGCACAGUCAGCUGCCUGCUGCUAGCGAUCGGUAUGCAGUUCUUCUUUCUGUCGGCGUUCUUUUGGCUGAACACGAUGUGCUUCAACAUCUGGUGGACAUUCCGUGACUUUCGUCCCAGCUCGCUGGAACGCAAUCAGGAGUCACUGCGUCUCCGGCUCUAUUCGGCAUACGCCUGGGGCCUGCCGCUCCUCAUCUGCGCCAUUGCCGCCUGCGUGGACCAGCUGCCGGAAACGGAGACUGCGCUGCUGCGUCCGGGCUUUGGCCAGCUGUACUGCUGGUUCGACAAUCGCUCCUUGGCCAUAUUCGCCUACUUCUACGGGCCCAUCGGACUGCUGCUGUGCGCCAACAUAGUGCUCUUCAUAUCGACAACGCAUCAGCUGACCUGCGGCCUGUGGAAGCGCGAUGAUGUCAAGUCGACGACGGAGAAAUCGGCGCUGGGCCGCGUCUGUCUCAAGCUGGUCGUCGUCAUGGGCGUCACCUGGAUCUGGGACAUAAUCUCGUGGCUGGUCGGCGGCCCACAUGAUGUCUGGCUGCUGACGGAUCUGAUCAAUGCGCUCCAGGGCGUCUUUAUAUUCAUUGUUGUCGGCUGCCAGCCCCAGGUGUGGACCGCCUGCAAGCGCAUCUGCUGUCCGCGUCUAAGGCACGACAUCACCAAUACGACCAACGGCGUACAGCACUCGAGCAGCUCCCAGGGCCUACCCUCCCUUGCCAAUGGCACCGAGUUCACCCAGAACACCUCCAUGAACAUCACAACAACAACAACAGCAACAGCCACAGCCAUGUCGCCAGCCAGCCCCGUUGCAGAGGAUGCCCCACAAACUGCAGCCAGUCCGAGCGGCCAGGUUGCCGCAAAGAUACCCAUGGAGACCAUUUGCUAAGAAAACUGAGACGAGCGACAAUGCGAAAGUAAACCGAGUCCUACAACAACAACAGCAACAACAACAAUGGCAAUGAAGGCAGCAACAAUAAAAACGGCAAGCGGCCAGACUUGCGCAAUAGCUGUUACAACAACAACAACAAUAACAGCUACAACAACAACAACGAAGACGGCAAUAAGCACAACAUUCAAGCACGCGCAUUGACCGAACGGGCAACAACUGCCCAGCCCAGCCCAGCCCAGGCCCAGGCCCAGCUGGCCAAGCUUUUUCUUAAUUCUUCUCUUCGGCUAUAACGUCUAUCGACUAUCGAAUCCGAUUGAAACGCGUGGAUUCCGUUUGUUAGUCUGUUGCGUGGAACCUGUGGAGCCCGUGUCAAUGCGUUGGAUUCUCUGCUAGCUAAAGGCUGAGGCUGAUGCUGUAACUGUAAACACUGGGAUAUUUUACUUUUAUGUCUGCUCGUGUGCAUGUGCGUGUGUGUGUGUGUGUGUUUGUGUGUUUGUGUGUGCUUCUUUUUAGGGGCGCACAAAAAGCGCUCGUUUAAUUAAACAAACAUUGAAAACGGUUAAUAGUUCGCUUUGAUAUGCACACACACACACACACACACACUGAAACACAAGAAUAACAAACAGACACGCUCACACACAGACACAGACACACAUAUAAUCAAAAGUUCAACGUAAUGAAAACUGAUCAAGGUUAAAUGGCUCAAAGCAACAACAAAUAUAAAUAGAAGCAAUAACCGAAAGCAUAGACACAAAACAGACAGAGAAGAUGCCAAAAGAAGAAAGCGCGUUUAAUUAACCGGACGCAGCACACACAAACACACACACACGCAAACGCAAUGUACAGUUAGUUAGUUAGCAAAGUGACGUUGCCAGAUCUGCUCGCCAAUUGGCAAGCUGCUAAACUCAACGAAAGCACACACACACACACACACACACACGCACACAAGUAUGCAGCGUUGCCACACUGGCGUGCUGAUCUUUGCAGCUCUAAACGACUUGCAAAUGCACUUUCCCCCCACACAAUGUAUUUUCUUUUAAUUUUACAAAAACGCAGAAACUAA
This is an RNA transcript of Drosophila novamexicana, 4252 nucleotides long. It is a transcript of the gene named probable G-protein coupled receptor Mth-like 1, with no coding region annotated. The transcript has 3 exons. Lineage: Eukaryota; Metazoa; Arthropoda; Insecta; Diptera; Drosophilidae. The record is from RefSeq and is a predicted model, not a curated record.